Molecule: long non-coding RNA, 1210 nt
Filed under: Aedes aegypti (yellow fever mosquito)
Lineage: Eukaryota; Metazoa; Arthropoda; Insecta; Diptera; Culicidae
Description: lncRNA AAEL026311
Source: RNAcentral
CUUUGUCAAAAUAAAUGACAGUACUCAGCAGUCGUACCAAAACGAAACAACAAAACUUCUUCCGCUUGAGCCAACAAAGGAAAAAAGGAAGGAGCCAUUCGGCAGAAAGCAAGUGUCGACGGAGCCGUUCAGUGCCAUUUUGUGGUGCCUCCAGUCUUGGGGAAUAAAAAUCAAAAGUGUGUGCGCGAGCAGGAUCGGAGAAAGCAAAUCGCAUCGCUGUAAGUUCCUGUGAAGGGCGGAAUUGUGUACGAAGCAGACGACGGAACGGUCCAUUUCGUUGGCCAUUCGGACACGCGCAACCUUCCGGCUGUAAAGAGCCACAAUCACCGCCAGCCCUCAAGACCACGGACGCAAAUCAACAAAAGCAAAUAGGCGAGGAAAACGGCCGUCGAUACCGGCUUCCGGCAGUAGAAACGCUGGCCUACGAUUGAAUAGCGGCGUGAAAUCACCUACACAAAAGACAAUCCAGAGGCGAAGUUGGCAAGGGCACCGACAAGCACGAGCUGAGAUAGAAUAACAAAGAAAGGCGUCUCUACUACAGGGUGAGUUACCCAAAAAAAGUGCAAGCCUAUGGAGUGAGGCUAAUGUGGAGCCCAUACAGGGCGCCUUUUUUUUAUUUCCCCCUCUUCGCAUUAGGCAGACGAAUUCCUAGCUGGUGGAUGAACGGUGAACUCCGCUCCAAUACCGGAUUGAGACAGUUCCCGCGAAGCCCAAGAGAGUGCUGAACGUCACCGAACGGCAGGGUGUGACGAGCGCUGGAGCUCAAUUCGCUGGUAAUCCAGUCAAACUCAAGCGACGGGAAGAAAGGAAGCAACCGGUCUGAGGCCGGAAAUCCACCACGAAAAGAACGGCGGAGCGACUACCUGUCCGCGGCUGAGAGGAAGGAGCUAAUGCCUAGCGAUCGGCCGAGUGGCUCAACUACAGCGAGAGUUGCAGAGCGUAGGCGGUCCGUGAGUACUAAAAACAUGGUGACUGUGGUCACAGAAGACUAGCCCAAGGGCUGAAGAAGGUAGUGUGCCAUCAGGCAGCAAUGACUGCUCGACAGAUAGAGUAGAAGCUUAGCCCUGGGGGCGUGGGUGUGCAAUUGGCAAAACGAAUAUAUGAUGUGGCUCAAAUGAAUUAGUGGCUCUUUUCUUUCAUUUUGGCUUGAGGAAAACCUUAUACUACGACUGGCGUGAAGUGACAAUUGUCGGUUUCGUAUAGCGAGGUG